Molecule: ribosomal RNA, 466 nt
Filed under: Nipponnemertes ganahai
Lineage: Eukaryota; Metazoa; Nemertea; Enopla; Monostilifera; Cratenemertidae
Description: partial large subunit ribosomal RNA
Rfam family: Bacterial large subunit ribosomal RNA
Source: RNAcentral
UAGCCUUUUGAGUUUUUAUUAAAGGUGGUUUCUGCUCGGUGCUUUUAAACAGCCGCGGUAAUUUGACCGUGCGAAGGUAGCAUAAUCAUUUGCUCUAUAAUUUAGGGCUUGUAUGAAUGGAUUUACAAAGGUUUUUCUGUCUUAGAAGAAUGUUUAGAAUUUGUUUUUAUUGUGAGGAAACAAUAAUUUUGUAAGGGGACAAGAAGACCCUUUUGAUCUUGACUUUUUGAGAAUAAGUGUUUUUAGAAAAGUUUGAUUGGGGCGAUCGAGGAAGAAGAAAAUCUUCCUUUUUAUAAUACAUGUGGUCCAAAAUUUUUGAUGAAAGGACUAAGUUACCAAAGGGAUAACAGCGUUAUUUUUUUUGUGAGUUCUUAUUAAAAAAAAAGAUUGCGACCUCGAUGUUGACUUAUAAUUUCCUUUAGGUGCAGUAACUAUAUGGGAGGGUCUGUUCGACCUUUAAAUUUUU